AGAAAGGUUGAGACACAAGAAAGCACAAUUAAAAAAUUAAAAAUAAAUAAAAAGCAGCAUACACACGCGCAAGAAAGCUUGGAGCAGAUAAGACUUAUGCGCUUCCAGCUCCUAAUUAACCUGGAUCAAUCGUCGAAGAAGUGAACAUAUGAUAAGGUGAUAUCAAGAAGUCUAGAGCACGAGACCAAUCAGUCUUUCAAAGACAAAUCGAU
This 212-nucleotide unclassified non-coding RNA is filed under the name Hevea brasiliensis (rubber tree). Lineage: Eukaryota; Viridiplantae; Streptophyta; Magnoliopsida; Malpighiales; Euphorbiaceae. The record is from RNAcentral.